CAGUAGCCGCGGGAAUACGGAGGGGGCUAGCGUUGUUCGGAAUUACUGGGCGUAAAGCGCACGUAGGCGGCUUUGUAAGUUAGAGGUGAAAGCCCGGAGCUUAACUCCGGAAUUGCCUUUAAGACUGCAGAGCUAGCAGGUGAGAGAGGUGAGUGGAAUUCCGAGUGUAGAGGUGAAAUUCGUAGAUAUUCGGAAGAACACCAGUGGCGAAGGCGGCUCACUGGCUCAUACUGGACGCUGAGGUGCGAAAGCGUGGGGAGCAAACAGGAUUAGAUACCCCCGUAGUCCCUGUCUCUUAUAC
Molecule: ribosomal RNA, 301 nt
Filed under: uncultured bacterium
Lineage: Bacteria
Description: partial 16S ribosomal RNA
Rfam family: Bacterial small subunit ribosomal RNA
Source: RNAcentral